This 671-nucleotide ribosomal RNA is filed under the name uncultured fungus. RNAcentral describes it as "eukaryotic LSU rRNA". It matches the Rfam family "Eukaryotic large subunit ribosomal RNA", at positions 24 to 664 of the family's 3401-position model. The record is from RNAcentral. Lineage: Eukaryota; Fungi.
CCCGCUGAACUUAAGCAUAUCAAUAAGCGGAGGAAAAGAAACUAACAAGGAUUCCCCUAGUAACUGCGAGUGAAGCGGGAAAAGCUCAAAUUUAAAAUCUGGUGGCCUUUUGGGCCAUCCGAGUUGUAAUUUAGAGAAGCGUCUUCUGCGCUGGACCGUGCACAAGUCUCCUGGAAUGGAGCGUCAUAGAGGGUGAGAAUCCCGUCUUUGGCACGGACUCCCGGUGCUUCUGUGAUGCGCUCUCGACGAGUCGAGUUGUUUGGGAAUGCAGCUCAAAAUGGGUGGUGAACUCCAUCUAAAGCUAAAUACUGGCGAGAGACCGAUAGCGAACAAGUACCGUGAGGGAAAGAUGAAAAGCACUUUGGAAAGAGAGUGAAACAGUACGUGAAAUUGUUGAAAGGGAAACGCUUGAAGUCAGUCGCGUCGACCGAGACUCAGCCUUGCCCUUGGCUUGGUGUACUUCUCGGCCUGACGGGUCAGCAUCAAUUUCGAUCCUCGGAUAAUGGCAGGGGAAAGGUGGCACCUUUUUAGGUGUGUUAUAGUCCUCUGUCGCAUGUGAGGGUCGGGAUUGAGGAACUCAGCACGCAUCUUUGGGUGUCGGGGCCUCUGGCCCACGUUACGUGCUUAGGAUGCUGGCGUAAUGGCUUUAAACGACCCGUCUUGAAACACGG